RNAcentral lists this long non-coding RNA (1226 nucleotides) under Triticum aestivum (bread wheat). Its description in RNAcentral is "long non-coding RNA (TAES_LNC021854)". The record is from RNAcentral. Lineage: Eukaryota; Viridiplantae; Streptophyta; Magnoliopsida; Poales; Poaceae.
UUGGAGAUUGAUCUUAUUUGUUUGGUUGUCCGUGGAUUCAAAGAUGAAGUAGAUAGUAAAGGCCAAGGCAACGGGCAUCAGACAUGUUAAUUUUUCUGAACUCUACUAUGGAACAUGUGUUUCUGAAUUUCUGCCAAAGUGUCAACUGUGGAUCGUACAUAGUAGUGCUCUUUUGAUAGUAGGUGGUCUGAAUUUCUGUCAAAGUGAUAACUGUGGAUAGUACAUAGUAGUGCUCUUUUGAUAGUAGGUGGUCGAAGUGUCGAAACACUGGAACAAGCACAAACUGAUCCUAGCAUCGAAGUGCUUUGUUUUUCCUUUGCAUCAAACUAUAUUUGUGUGCUCCAGAGUUCAGUGGGACAUAUGAUUGUCGUGCUCCAGCCUGUUUAAUCUCAGGUCUGAUCUCUUUUUAGCUCUUAUAUGUAUAGUACUUGGUUAUACAAACAUGGAACUGAUGGAUAUGUUGGAUUAAUGGAUGCAUAAUUAGACACCUGAUGAUGAAUAGAUGGAAUUAAUGGAUGCAUACAUAUAUGAUUAGACCCUUAAUAAGCUUAGAUGUACUAUGGUUUAUUGCAUUCUCAGUAGGUUAAUAAUUACUAUAUAUGAAAACAAAAUUGCGCGUUCUUAUUUUGUUGGAAUAUUCCCACAAGGCCACACCGGCAAGAUAAUUAGUUUCUUUUUUAUGAAACCAAUAGCUAAUCUAUAUAUUUGCAGGUGAUUCAGAUGAGCGUCUCCCGACUUUAUGCAACAAUCAAAUUUAUUUGAAGUACCAAUAUUUGCAAUAAACAUUCUUAAUCCAUAUUAGUUACGGGAUUUAUAAAUCUUUUCACCACUUCAUAUGUUUGGAGGGGAACAUAUAAGAAACUGAUGGAUCACGUAUAUGUUCUGUGGCAUAAAUACAAUAUAAUUAAUGUGAAAACCAUUGAUGUGUCUCAGGAUCACAUGAUCUGUUUAAAAUAAUAUAUAAUUUGCACUCAGCGGAAAAUACUCCCAAAAAAGUUCGCAUGUAAAUGACUGAAUAUUAUAUCCAGAUUUCAGUUUUGUCUCAUUGACAAAAGUAAUCAUUGCGAUGCCCUGAAGAAAUAUACGAUUAUCAUGGUAAGUAUUUUCGUUCCGUGCAGGGUCUUGCGAGCGGGGAAGGAGAGCACCUGUGAGGUAAGAAGGCACCAAUGCAACACGCUGUGAAACCUCGGCAUCGCAAAUGGGAUUCUGUCCAAGGAUGCAGAUUU